AGUCGAGCGCAGGAAGCUCACGGAACUUCUUUCGAAGGAAGUGAAGGGAAUGAGCGGCGGACGGGUGAGUAACACGUAAGGAACCUGCCCCAAGGAUUGGGAUAACUCCGAGAAAUCGGAGCUAAUACCGAAUAGUUCUUCAGACCGCAUGGUCUGAUGAUGAAAGGCGCUCCGGCGUCACCUUGGGAUGGCCUUGCGGUGCAUUAGCUAGUUGGUGGGGUAAUGGCCCACCAAGGCGACGAUGCAUAGCCGACCUGAGAGGGUGAUCGGCCACACUGGGACUGAGACACGGCCCAGACUCCUACGGGAGGCAGCAGUAGGGAAUCUUCCACAAUGGACGAAAGUCUGAUGGAGCAACGCCGCGUGAGUGAUGAAGGUUUUCGGAUCGUAAAACUCUGUUGUAAGGGAAGAACAAGUACGAGAGGUAAUGCUCGUACCUUGACGGUACCUUGCGAGAAAGCCACGGCUAACUACGUGCCAGCAGCCGCGGUAAUACGUAGGUGGCAAGCGUUGUCCGGAAUUAUUGGGCGUAAAGCGCGCGCAGGCGGCCUUUUAAGUCUGAUGUGAAAGCCCCCGGCUCAACCGGGGAGGGUCAUUGGAAACUGGAAGGCUUGAGUACAGAAGAGAAGAGUGGAAUUCCAUGUGUAGCGGUGAAAUGCGUAGAGAUGUGGAGGAACACCAGUGGCGAAGGCGACUCUUUGGUCUGUAACUGACGCUGAGGCGCGAAAGCGUGGGGAGCAAACAGGAUUAGAUACCCUGGUAGUCCACGCCGUAAACGAUGAGUGCUAGGUGUUGGGGGGUUUCCGCCCCUCAGUGCUGAAGCUAACGCAUUAAGCACUCCGCCUGGGGAGUACGGCCGCAAGGCUGAAACUCAAAGGAAUUGACGG
This 887-nucleotide ribosomal RNA is filed under the name uncultured bacterium. RNAcentral describes it as "bacterial SSU rRNA". It matches the Rfam family "Bacterial small subunit ribosomal RNA", at positions 60 to 916 of the family's 1533-position model. The record is from RNAcentral.